GCGGAUAUGGUGUUUAAUGGUAGCAUCCCUGCCUUCCAAGCAGGUGGUGAGGGUUCGAAUCCCUUUAUCCGCUCCA
This 76-nucleotide transfer RNA is filed under the name compost metagenome. RNAcentral's name for it is "tRNA-Gly". It matches the Rfam family "tRNA". Rfam says of the family: Transfer RNA (tRNA) molecules are approximately 80 nucleotides in length. Their secondary structure includes four short double-helical elements and three loops (D, anti-codon, and T loops). The record is from RNAcentral.